This 1535-nucleotide ribosomal RNA is filed under the name Phocaeicola vulgatus. Its description in RNAcentral is "bacterial SSU rRNA". It matches the Rfam family "Bacterial small subunit ribosomal RNA". The record is from RNAcentral. Lineage: Bacteria; Pseudomonadati; Bacteroidota; Bacteroidia; Bacteroidales; Bacteroidaceae.
UAUUACAAUGAAGAGUUUGAUCCUGGCUCAGGAUGAACGCUAGCUACAGGCUUAACACAUGCAAGUCGAGGGGCAGCAUGGUCUUAGCUUGCUAAGGCCGAUGGCGACCGGCGCACGGGUGAGUAACACGUAUCCAACCUGCCGUCUACUCUUGGACAGCCUUCUGAAAGGAAGAUUAAUACAAGAUGGCAUCAUGAGUCCGCAUGUUCACAUGAUUAAAGGUAUUCCGGUAGACGAUGGGGAUGCGUUCCAUUAGAUAGUAGGCGGGGUAACGGCCCACCUAGUCUUCGAUGGAUAGGGGUUCUGAGAGGAAGGUCCCCCACAUUGGAACUGAGACACGGUCCAAACUCCUACGGGAGGCAGCAGUGAGGAAUAUUGGUCAAUGGGCGAGAGCCUGAACCAGCCAAGUAGCGUGAAGGAUGACUGCCCUAUGGGUUGUAAACUUCUUUUAUAAAGGAAUAAAGUCGGGUAUGGAUACCCGUUUGCAUGUACUUUAUGAAUAAGGAUCGGCUAACUCCGUGCCAGCAGCCGCGGUAAUACGGAGGAUCCGAGCGUUAUCCGGAUUUAUUGGGUUUAAAGGGAGCGUAGAUGGAUGUUUAAGUCAGUUGUGAAAGUUUGCGGCUCAACCGUAAAAUUGCAGUUGAUACUGGAUAUCUUGAGUGCAGUUGAGGCAGGCGGAAUUCGUGGUGUAGCGGUGAAAUGCUUAGAUAUCACGAAGAACUCCGAUUGCGAAGGCAGCCUGCUAAGCUGCAACUGACAUUGAGGCUCGAAAGUGUGGGUAUCAAACAGGAUUAGAUACCCUGGUAGUCCACACGGUAAACGAUGAAUACUCGCUGUUUGCGAUAUACAGCAAGCGGCCAAGCGAAAGCGUUAAGUAUUCCACCUGGGGAGUACGCCGGCAACGGUGAAACUCAAAGGAAUUGACGGGGGCCCGCACAAGCGGAGGAACAUGUGGUUUAAUUCGAUGAUACGCGAGGAACCUUACCCGGGCUUAAAUUGCAGAUGAAUUACGGUGAAAGCCGUAAGCCGCAAGGCAUCUGUGAAGGUGCUGCAUGGUUGUCGUCAGCUCGUGCCGUGAGGUGUCGGCUUAAGUGCCAUAACGAGCGCAACCCUUGUUGUCAGUUACUAACAGGAUUUGCUGAGGACUCUGACAAGACUGCCAUCGUAAGAUGUGAGGAAGGUGGGGAUGACGUCAAAUCAGCACGGCCCUUACGUCCGGGGCUACACACGUGUUACAAUGGGGGGGUACAGAGGGCCGCUACCACGCGAGUGGAUGCCAAUCCCAAAAACCUCUCUCAGUUCGGACUGGAGUCUGCAACCCGACUCCACGAAGCUGGAUUCGCUAGUAAUCGCGCAUCAGCCACGGCGCGGUGAAUACGUUCCCGGGCCUUGUACACACCGCCCGUCAAGCCAUGGGAGCCGGGGGUACCUGAAGUGCGUAACCGCGAGGAGCGCCCUAGGGUAAAACUGGUGACUGGGGCUAAGUCGUAACAAGGUAGCCGUACCGGAAGGUGCGGCUGGAACACCUCCUUUCU